Long non-coding RNA from Morus notabilis, 904 nucleotides. RefSeq lists it as uncharacterized. The record is from RefSeq and is a predicted model, not a curated record. Lineage: Eukaryota; Viridiplantae; Streptophyta; Magnoliopsida; Rosales; Moraceae. The transcript has 3 exons.
GAUGACUUAUUCAUACCAUAUUAAGUUCUUGGGAGAUUAGAAACACUAGAAAAAGUCAACCUAGCCUCAUAAUUUUAAAUCACCAAACACUCAUCAAAUAGCUUUUUUCUCUCUUUAUUUUUCUUUUCUUUCACCCCAAACACUUUAGAUUUCUUAGGAAAAGGAGAAUUUAAAGACUCUAGCCUUCCAAACCAUAAGAGAUCAACGUGUACGCUUUCUAGAUCCUUUUUUACGAGGCAAGUGUGCCGCGUUCCCGAGAACUACAUCACCGAGUAAUUACCCCACUAGCAAUGUUGAGUAAGUCUACAAUCAAGGGAGAGAGUCCCACUUUGCACCUGAACGUGAGGAGCUCAUGAGCAGGUACUGGGUGAGAGAGGAUUGAGAAUUAUUGUAAGAGAUGAGUAAUAUCCUAUCAAAUAUAAAAUGUAAACUAGGAGGCGUGUGCCGAGAGAGAGUCCCACUCGCAACUGAGCCACGACGAGAAGCCCGUAUGAAGUUGCCACGUUAAGGAUAGGGGUCGCUCCCUUAUUCUUAGCGCGGUUGCGCGCAAAUUGGUACUGCCUAGGGGCUAAACCAGUAUUGAAGAUAGUAAUGCGAAUCUUGAGAAUAACAUAAUGAGAAAGCAUAGAACACUUAAAAGAUGAGAUUAUUUGAGUUUAGAGCUGCAUAUUUUAGGAUAUAUGUUUGAUGUGACGUAUAUUUACAACUAAAACCAUUAAGAUAAAUGUUUUAUGAGAUUGUGGAUGUACUUACUAAGCGUUUCGCUUAUGAGAUUUUCGCAUGUUGCAAAUAAAGGUAAGAAACAUAGCUUGAUGAUAGAGAAGGCUUGGCGUGGAUGUGCUCGUGGUGGCGGACACGGAUUGUCCAAAUAGGAAGAGAUUUGGCACACUUAUUUUAAGUUUGU